GGCUCAGGACGAACGCUGGCGGCGUGCUUAACACAUGCAAGUCGAACGAUGAACCGCUUUCGGGCGGGGAUUAGUGGCGAACGGGUGAGUAACACGUGGGCAAUCUGCCCUGCACUCUGGGACAAGCCCUGGAAACGGGGUCUAAUACCGGAUAUGACUGUCCAUCGCAUGGUGGAUGGUGUAAAGCUCCGGCGGUGCAGGAUGAGCCCGCGGCCUAUCAGCUUGUUGGUGAGGUAGUGGCUCACCAAGGCGACGACGGGUAGCCGGCCUGAGAGGGCGACCGGCCACACUGGGACUGAGACACGGCCCAGACUCCUACGGGAGGCAGCAGUGGGGAAUAUUGCACAAUGGGCGAAAGCCUGAUGCAGCGACGCCGCGUGAGGGAUGACGGCCUUCGGGUUGUAAACCUCUUUCAGCAGGGAAGAAGCGAAAGUGACGGUACCUGCAGAAGAAGCGCCGGCUAACUACGUGCCAGCAGCCGCGGUAAUACGUAGGGCGCAAGCGUUGUCCGGAAUUAUUGGGCGUAAAGAGCUCGUAGGCGGCUUGUCACGUCGGUUGUGAAAGCCCGGGGCUUAACCCCGGGUCUGCAGUCGAUACGGGCAGGCUAGAGUUCGGUAGGGGAGAUCGGAAUUCCUGGUGUAGCGGUGAAAUGCGCAGAUAUCAGGAGGAACACCGGUGGCGAAGGCGGAUCUCUGGGCCGAUACUGACGCUGAGGAGCGAAAGCGUGGGGAGCGAACAGGAUUAGAUACCCUGGUAGUCCACGCCGUAAACGGUGGGCACUAGGUGUGGGCAACAUUCCACGUUGUCCGUGCCGCAGCUAACGCAUUAAGU
RNAcentral lists this ribosomal RNA (831 nucleotides) under bacterium. RNAcentral's name for it is "bacterial SSU rRNA". It matches the Rfam family "Bacterial small subunit ribosomal RNA", at positions 21 to 865 of the family's 1533-position model. The record is from RNAcentral.